Long non-coding RNA from Calidris pugnax (ruff), 1148 nucleotides. RefSeq lists it as uncharacterized. NCBI's taxonomy places the organism in Eukaryota, Metazoa, Chordata, Aves, Charadriiformes, Scolopacidae. The transcript has 4 exons. The record is from RefSeq and is a predicted model, not a curated record.
GUUUCUGACUUCUGGGGGGGGGUCAGCACGUUGUCACAUCACACGUGUGUCCCCCCCCAAAUCGAUGUCUGAGCCGCGUUCCGGGAUGUAGCACGGGUCACGGCGAAACUUCCCCGGAGAUGGAAAAGGAGGUGAAAACCUUCCCUGUGAUCCCUAAUCUGGUGCAUCCCCCCCCACCCCCUGACCGGAUGGUGUUUUAACCCAAAAUACUUUGGAAUUAAUAUCUGGAAAAUCCUCCUGAGAGGCAGAAAUUGGAGGAGGAGCUGGAAUUUAUCCCCAGCCCAUGGUCUGGAGGAGGAGACCUUAGACCUUCACGGAGUCCAAGCCUUCAGGGGAUUAAGCCAGAGGAACCAGAGGCUCAGCCUCCCUUAAUUAGGAGAAGAGAGAAGGGAAAAAAUGUUUGCAGAACAUCCCCUGGAUCUCAAGUGUGAAAGUGCUGCUUCGGAGAUGAAUUGGGUUUAAUUAGGAUGUUUUUCCUUGUUUUUGGAGAUAAUUACAGCCUUAUUGUCUGGGAAAAGGUGUGGGGGGGGCUGCUUGGUGGGGGAAUGGACCCCUCUGGAAGGGACCAGACCAAGGGGCUCCCAAUUUUCCUGGAAGGGUGGUGAGAGGGUCCCACCAGGGGACUGUGGUGGGGCAGGAAGAUCUGAGAGUGACUCCUGGGAGGCUCUUCCCCCUUCCCAACACCUUAAAAUUUAAUGUAUGGAGCAGGGGGAGGGUGGAAAGGUCAGGAGGGGGACGUGUUCCUCUCCAGAGAAGCUCCCAACAGGGAUGUGACUCUGAGGAGGUCCAUGUCCUGAUGAAAACACCUUCAUUCCUACAGAGGCAGAAGGGAAAUUGGAGGAGGAGCUGGAGGUCUGCAGGAGGAGACCCUAGACCUUCACGGAGUCCAAGCCUUCAGGGGAUUAAGCCAGAGGAACCAGAGGCUCAGCCUCCCUUAAUUAGGAGAAGAGAGAAGGGAAAAAUGUUUGCAGAACAUCCCCUGGAUCUCACUCUCCACCUGCGCUGCUUCGUGCGGUUCCUCUACCUCAAAUAAAAGGAAAAUAGAAACAAAAAUAAUCCCCCUGAAGGGGUUGAGAGCCCACAUUUCUCUGCUGGAUUCACCCUGGGUUAGAGCUCUGCUCCUCCCCUCCUGCCCCAGAGCUGGGGGA